UGCAGGGCAGAGGAGAGCCAUCACCAAGCCCAGCAGACUACCAUAGACAAGCACACAGAAAUGAGCAGACAAGUUGGAAAGCCUGGAAGGGUGUAGUGAUGGUUUCAAGGCGACAAGGUUAGGACUAUGGAAACCAGGGUUGAAAUAAGAGGGCUGAUACUAAAGGUUGUGGAAUGAAGAGUCAGACAGGAUUUGCACGGCUCCCUGAAUGUUGGGGCAGAACAUGUCAUCCAUGGAAAUUGACUUAUUUUGUUCUACAAGGUGACCUGUGCAUCUGUAUAGAUGGAGAUUUUCUAAGCAACCGCCACCCUCCUAUCCCCCCCCCCCACCUUGAUGAAUGCAAAGACUCCUCACAAGGCUCCGUAUCUAUCCCGUGGCCCUGUAGACACAGAGGAGAAGGAAUGAUAUGGUUCCAGGAAGUGCCUGUGAACACUUUGGGAAGGCUCGAUGUCUCCGAAGGCAUCACGAGGCUUGGACAGACACAAGUGUGUACUGUGAAAGGACACUUCACAUCCCCAAAACACCAAGGCUUUCUGAAGGGGUCUUCAGUGUGGCUCUCCAGCAGCCCCUGCAUCAGAGUCUGUAAAAGGACUGGCUUUUACUCUGCUUAUCUUGCUGCCUUUAUUUAG
Molecule: long non-coding RNA, 629 nt
Filed under: Mus spicilegus (steppe mouse)
Lineage: Eukaryota; Metazoa; Chordata; Mammalia; Rodentia; Muridae
Description: lncRNA (ENSMSIG00000016534.1)
Source: RNAcentral